RNAcentral lists this transfer RNA (68 nucleotides) under Marmota monax (woodchuck). RNAcentral's name for it is "tRNA.Ala". The record is from RNAcentral. Lineage: Eukaryota; Metazoa; Chordata; Mammalia; Rodentia; Sciuridae.
GUGGUGGCUCAGUGGUAGAGGGCCUCUCUAGCAUGUGUGAGGCACUGAGUUCAAUUCUCAGCACCACA